AGCUUGCCCGAGUGGGCAGAGGGAUCCUCCUCCUGGCAUCACUGGUAGAAGCUUCUCUGGAGACCUGCAUGGGGAUGUAUGAGGAUGAUAGGGAGUCCGUGCUGGCGGAAAUCCUGCACUGUGCCCGGAGGGACACCCGCUGCGCCAAAACGUUUGCCCCAAAGAGCUCCAUGUUACUCAUCCUCAGGGCCACUGGUAACACCCAAACCAUCACAAAAUUGAAGUGCCUCAAGUUUCCCAGGAGAAGGCACAUAAGUGCUUCAUGAUGUGGCAAGAAGUGCCACUGACACGGUGCUCUCUGCACAUCUGCAAGAGAUCCUGCCUGCACCUCUGCAAACCUUCAUGCCAAGAGGAACCAGGAUCAGGUCAGAGAUUGUUUGCUUCUCUCCCAGCACCCUGGAAAGGUCUAGAAGCCUCUCAAUGGCUGAGCAGUUCCAACACUGCCACAAAGGAGCCAGGAACUGUCUUGACAUUUCUACUCCACUGCAGUGACUAGAAUAGGCUUUCCCUAGGGCUCCAGGCUACAUAUUUGUAAGUGGCCAUUUUGUGGCUACACUUUUUUGAUGUUCUGAUUCUCCUAAAUGAAUGAAUUGCCCAUAAGCACCCUUGUGAAGAUUGUCCUGACCAAAUUAGAACCCAGAUUUAACUAAAUUGUAUAUAGCUGUGGGUGGGGCUUUCCAGAAAUAAAAAUUGACUACAUGGUUUAUAA
Molecule: long non-coding RNA, 709 nt
Organism: Pogoniulus pusillus (Red-fronted tinkerbird)
Lineage: Eukaryota; Metazoa; Chordata; Aves; Piciformes; Lybiidae
Exons: 4
Source: RefSeq, a predicted model, not a curated record